CUGCCUGGUAGUGGGGGACGAACGUUUCGAAAGGAACGCUAAUACCGCCAUACGUCCUACGGGAGAAAGCAGGGACCUUCGGGCCUUGCGCUAUCAGAUGAGCCUAGGUCGGAUUAGCUAGUUGGUGAGGUAAUGGCUCACCAAGGCGACGAUCCGUAACUGGUCUGAGAGGAUGAUCAGUCACACUGGAACUGAGACACGGUCCAGACUCCUACGGGAGGCAGCAGCC
RNAcentral lists this ribosomal RNA (229 nucleotides) under uncultured Pseudomonas sp. Its description in RNAcentral is "partial 16S ribosomal RNA". It matches the Rfam family "Bacterial small subunit ribosomal RNA", at positions 126 to 355 of the family's 1533-position model. The record is from RNAcentral. Lineage: Bacteria; Pseudomonadati; Pseudomonadota; Gammaproteobacteria; Pseudomonadales; Pseudomonadaceae.